GAGGAAUAUUGGUCAAUGGGUGCAAGCCUGAACCAGCCAUCCCGCGUGAAGGACGACUGCCCUAUGGGUUGUAAACUUCUUUUGUAUAGGGAUAAACCUACCCUCGUGAGGGUAGCUGAAGGUACUAUACGAAUAAGCACCGGCUAACUCCGUGCCAGCAGCCGCGGUAAUACGGAGGGUGCAAGCGUUAUCCGGAUUUAUUGGGUUUAAAGGGUCCGUAGGCGGACUUAUAAGUCAGUGGUGAAAGCCUGUCGCUUAACGAUAGAACUGCCAUUGAUACUGUAAGUCUUGAGUAUAUUUGAGGUAGCUGGAAUAAGUAGUGUAGCGGUGAAAUGCAUAGAUAUUACUUA
This 350-nucleotide ribosomal RNA is filed under the name uncultured bacterium. RNAcentral describes it as "bacterial SSU rRNA". It matches the Rfam family "Bacterial small subunit ribosomal RNA", at positions 356 to 703 of the family's 1533-position model. The record is from RNAcentral.